ACUCAGAAUACACUGUGAUUCUGUGAUUUUUUAGAUUGUAAUUCAUCAGUAUUUGGAGGAGCCUUAAGCUUGUUGCGUUUCCACAUGGCCUACCAUUAGAGUAAAUAUCUAGAGCUUCCAUUGCAUUCGUGAAAUGUAAACAACAACUUUUACACUAAGAGUAAUAAAUACAGGAUAUAACAUACAAACUAAUGUUUGGCACAGUUGAAAUUUCUUUUAAAAUCAAUUUUAUUAAAAAGCAGUUAUAGCCUCCUCAGAUACCCCUUCACACGGGUAACUUUACUAGACAUUUAAGGUAUGACAUAACUCAUUAAAUACAUUAAAGAAGAGAAGUUUUAGGUAGUUUUUCUGACAGCUGCUUUUUUCUCCUCAUAAAUGUACUAUACGAACACCAUUCAUGAUCCAUGCAUACUCAGCCACGUGCCUCUGCUACCCAGUGAUUGUUCUCCCAGUGCUCCUGCUAUUGUGUGGCUCUCCAUAACUCAGCCACAGACUUGUGCUGGAGGAUGGCAACACACGGCUCUGAACACAGAGCUGUUUGAACAGCUCCUGUGGCAGCGGGGUGCCUGGCCCCUUGCAGUCGUGCCUUUGAGCCGCAGCGGCGCCGGCUGCGGCAAUAAAAGUCCAAAGGAGGGAGUGGAGCCUGCAUCCCUCCACAGCCCCGUGUACAGGGAGCUGCGGCUUCCCGUCUCAUAGGAAGUGCCCACUCUGUGACCUGUAGUUUCUGCUGUCUGAACGGCUGUCUCUGAGCUUCCUGCAGCAAAACAAAACGGCACUGAAAGUGUCUCUCUCUUCCUUUUGUUUCACUAUUUUCCUUCCACGGGGGGUCUCUGAACUUGUGUGCCCAGCUGGAAUUAAUACACCCAGAGACUCUGCAGAGAAGACUGGGGAAGUGGAGGAGGCCCAGGGGGGUGGUGUGAGUAUUCGUUGUUGAUAUACACAUAAAUCAGAACCAGCGUAUCACUCCAUUGGAUGUCUGAGGCACAUCAAGGACAAAGGAACCUCAGUUUUUGACCCUCUGCUCCAAACUUUUAUGUGCCUGGUCUCCAGACUUGUAUCAACAGCCCUUGGCAUAAGUAGCAACAAAUGCCAAGGAGAGAAAGGCAGAUCCUUCUGCAGCUCAACAUAAGCCAGAAUGGAUUAUAGGCAGGCUGAAAGGACUUGCUUAUAUCUAUCAACCGGAGCUUCAGAGCUGGCAGAUCUUUGUGGAAGAGUCUGAGGCAAGGGUGAGGAGCAGCUUGGCACCAGCUGGUGAGUAACCCAGCAGUAUAUUGCCCUGGUCAAACAACCCACUGCUGCAUCUGUAUCACAAGCAAGCAUCUGUAUCACAAGCAAGAAUCUGGCUUCUGGAUUGCCCCUCUCCAGUGCAAGGCAGAUAUCAAGAGAAAUGGGGAAGGAGACAUGCCAGGGUUUUCUCCAGACAGUCUUCUGAGAAAGUCUACCUUCUUGUGCAAAGAGAGAUAUACUUCAAAGGCUGAUUAUGGUGGUUGGGACUACUGGACUUUCCAACAUCACAAUAUUCUAAAAAUACCACUGAAAACCUUGACUGUCCAUGUGGAAAACAACAGACACUCGAACUCUUGGAACAAGGUGUAAAGUUUGCCCUCAGACCUAUCCAGUCUGGAAUUGCCUUGAAGUCACUUUCAACUUGCAGAUUACGAAAGUGACAAAGGGUCCAAUGGAAAGAGAUAGACCUGCUCUACUUAAUUGGCAUCUCCCUACCAGAAGUAUUUCAGGAAGUCUCGAACUGCAGGGGGAUGAGACUGGAGGCUGGUUUUGUGCUUCAUUUUGUUCUCCGCAUCCCUAUUCCUGAGUCAGUAAAGGCUGAAGCUUUUCAACACAGUAUCCUUUGAAGGAGCUCAUCCUCAAAUUGACAAUGUUCCACCUAGCAUUAAUUUAACAUUUAACUCAUUGGAAAAACCUGUUACAAAAAAAGGCUGCAGGGGGGAUACACAUUAAAGCGCUAAUAAUGAAAAUUUCUUUUUUAAACUAGGAUACCUGGGAGCAAGCCCACAGAGCCAACAAGAAACAGAAGGCCACAUCCCAGGUCCACUGCAGAAUAUCAGUGACUGUGUCCCCAAAAGUGCCUUCUAGGCUGACCCUGUGCCCUUGGAUCCCGUGUCCCCUGGCAGCCGGAGCGCAGGAACAGCAGGGCCCCGCAGGGUCCCUGGCUGCUGCCUCCCUGCCGCCCGUGACGCAUGCACCCGGGUGUAGCAGGCCAGGGGCGUUUGCUUGCUUUUCUAGGGAUUCCUGUGUGUCAUUGCCCUCUGAGAGUGAGAAAUGAGGCUGUGUAAGUUACUAGAUAUUGUUCCCUUAUAAAAUAUUUAUUUCCUUACACACAUAAACCCCUUUCUCUUUUACAUCUACCUAGUCGAAGCCCUGUGGAAGGGAGUAUUUCAUCCUAAGAAGCCAUCAAGAUAUCAUUGCAUUGGUUCAUUUUGAGACCUGCUGAACAAAGUUCUACACCCUUCAGAAGUCCCGUAGAAAAAUACUCAUUUUGAGCAGCUUCUCUGAUUUCUCAGAAUUCUCCCAAAUCCCAUUCAUUCAGCCAGAGCUGAUCCUGGGCAACACUAAGCAACUUCUUAAAAACUACUGCCUGUUAUGUGUUGCUGCUGACAUUAAUUGGACACAGCAAAUUUAGCUCUUGCAAAUUUGAUACCAUAUAGUGCAGUCUGCAGCUUUCAGAAGCGUUGACUAAUUGACUGAGAAUUUCUCAAAGCAUAUGUAGUUUACUAAGCAGAACUAGAAAAAAAUUGUGGAUUUCAGGAAGGCCUAUUUGCUUACACCCUGUGCUGCGUAGGAAUGCCAAAUGGAAAGUUUAUUGCCAUACCUACAGCAAGAUCUCUGCCUGAUAUUGGCUUCUCAGGAAGUUUAGUGGCAGCUGUGGUCUCGUGACAUCAUCUCUGGUGUCACUUACUGCUAAUAAAACAAUUGUGCUACUCAGUCUGUGGCUUGCACAAAAUUUAGGACAACUCAGUGCUUUAGCCUGCAACAAUGGAUGGAGACCAAGUCAGACGAAAACUCUGUAUUUAGUUAUAAAAAAUGUUUUUUCCUGAUCUAUCCUUUUUUUUACUUUUUCCCAAAUGAACAUGUAUUGACUGUCCCUACUGCUUGCUGAGGCAGGCGAGUCUGAGCCACAGCAGGGCACCCCACUGUGUCUGGGUUUGGGGGUGAGGGCACUUGCUUGGAUAUGCUGACUCCUUUCAACCUGUAGGCUAUUAGCACUUGUAACUCACCCUUUAAUUUCUCUCUGGGUGAUUUUUUGCAGUUUGUGCUUCUCAAGUGCCCUCAGGAGCACAGAAAUCUGCUGCUCAGCUGUCAGCCAAGUUCAUGAAUAUUUGCACCUCUCAGACUCCUCUUCAAUAGGGUAUAGCCAGACAGGCUUCAUAGUUCUGCUGGGAACAAUCGCUGUUAAAACUCUUCUGUUUGAAGGCUUCUUCCCAGUUCUAUGGGCUCUGAUUAUGUCUUUUUCAGUACAUUAUCUCACUGUAAUAGCUUCUUUGGGGCCAUUUCUAGCUCUUGAAUGGAUUAUCAUGCUAUCAUUAGGCGAGACACCACAUAACCCCUCUCUGAUGACUGUGUCACUUUGAAAAUCCUGAGUUACUGUUAAACGUGAAACCUGUGUUGUAUACACAGAACACUAAGUUAUAAGCUUUUUAGCUUCUGUGAAUAAGUUUUUGUACUACUUGAGAUUAUAAAAUAAAGUGUUUUGGUUGUAAACCAUUGCUUUGUCAUGCUAGCACAGAUUCAAAAUGACAGGCAGAAACUUAAGCACAAAAGGCUGCAGAGAUUUACAUAUGGCAUCUGUACAAGGCACUCUUACCCUUUCUCUGAUGACUAUCACUGAUAUUAAAUGUCAAUAGGAUUGUACUUCUACUAGAUAUGGCUUUUAAUUAAAGUCUUCUUUCCAGAUUUUUCACAACAAUUCAGCUAGAAAAGGCUUUUCUUUUCCAAGGAUGAUUUUUCAUGUCUAGAAUUUAGUGCCACAGCACAAUACCCAAGCCCUUUCUGCUAAGUAUGGUAUUCUUUGUCACUACUGAGUGUCUGCAUUCUUAAAGUUUACUUGUUGCUGUUUUCCAGAAACUGUCAAGUCCUCAGUUGCCCACAAUGGGACUUAAUACAAGUUUCUCUACAACCUCUACAGUAAUGGCUUAGAGCACUACAAUUCUUAACAACACAGUCCUAGGGUUUCAGAUAGCAAUGUGACAGCAUUAAAUCUGGCACUGAUUCUUAAUGGAAACAGUUAAGGUCUCAUUUUUAACUUUGAAGAGGAUGAUUCCUUCCUGCCAUGAUCCAAUACCUAGUUUUUCAAAAUCUUGCCAGUUACUUACAUUUUUUUGUUUGAAAUUGCUGUUGUAAAGGUGAAGACUCUUGAAAUAAUGACUAUGAUACAACUUUUAAAAAUCCCUCAAGUAGUUAGUUAAUUAUAUUCCUGGAGAGAUGGAGUAAUAGCAAGAAUAUUCUGAGUUGUAAUAAAAAUGUAAGAAGAUGUUUAGAAGGGCAUAAUUCUCUUUUUAACUGCAGUCUGUUUUGAAUUAUCAAAGGCACUAGGGAGAGAGAGGAAGGGGGAGCAGAAAUGAGAUAACUCACGUAAAGAAACAGCACAGGAAAUAUAAGCCAUAUGUAAGCUGGACUAUGAAAAUACACCAACAUACUCACCUUCAAAAACCUUGUAAGCACAUUUCCACAGAGAGCAGAAAUACCUGUAAGCAGCAGUUGGUCUCUUGGGGCCCAGCACAUGUGGCUUUCUCCCUCCAUGGCUGAACCCCAGACAUGGCACUACCCCCACGCUGCUGGGGGAAGGUGGAAACUGGUCACAGGUGACUGCGGGUGACUGUACCAGGACAGCCUGGCAGGUGGCCUCCAGGAAGGUUGCCCACGCCUAGGUGAAGCCACAGCACAGUAUGGAAUGUUUUCCACAUGUGAGGAACUCAGCAGCUCUGGUGGAUGCAGGCGCUCUGUGGUGCACUGGGACUUUCCCAUGCAGCAUCCGCCACCACGUGGGAACGGUGCACAGAUGUUUCCCCCCACUGCCAGAGAGGAUGAGACCUCACCUUGUGACAGGAAGCUGCACAGGACAGGUCUGUGCAAACACACAGGUCCUGUGGAAUAGCUGGAGCCAGAUAGUCGCACAUAAAACCCUUACACACAUUUUGGCUUUUAGCGUGUGGACAUACCCAGCAACAGCUCGACUUCUUGAUAGUGUUAACUAAAGGCUGUUAUUUUUGAGUUUGUGGCAGCUGGGCACUCUUUAAGAAAGGAAAAUAGAGCUAAGCUUACUGGUGACCUGAUUUUAGGCAGCAAUUUCUGUACUCCUGCUCUAUUUUUUUUGGCAUUCAAAAAAUAGCUAUAGCAUAAAAGAGUAUUCUGAAUGCUACUCUCUACCUUCUGCUUUCCAGGAAACCCAAUGCAUGGAUGAGUUCCUGUUGACACUUUAUACAAAUCAUGCUUUUUCUUCCUUGGCCUGUGACUCUCGUACAAAAGAAGCUUCUUUUAUCACUACCUAAAAAUAAAGAACACUAACAAAAUGCCCUGAUCAAAGCAAUUCAUUCAUGAGCAGACUGAUUUUUGCAUGCUGCUACUUUGUAUGUGAGAACCAUUACCCAAGGAGAGAGACCAUGAAUAGACAUAGUGUUUACAUAGUACCAAAGUAUAAGGUUGCUCCUUGUGGGUAAAACAGAACUGAACCCUCAUGAUACACUAACAUGUGCGUGGUAGCUGAUGACACAUCACUGCUGCCUACAUUAGCACAGCAAAGAUGCUUUGUUCUCUGAUGUCAUGAGUUUCAAAUCCCAGCUGGGGAUUUACUGACUAAGCCACAGUGAGCUGCUGUGGCUUCCCUCCCAAAAGGAAAAGAGGAAUAAAAUAGAAUGGCUUUCUGCUUUUGAUUUUGCUUCAGAAAUACUGCUAAGCACUAGGAGUUAUU
Long non-coding RNA from Corvus hawaiiensis (hawaiian crow), 5926 nucleotides. RefSeq lists it as uncharacterized. NCBI's taxonomy places the organism in Eukaryota, Metazoa, Chordata, Aves, Passeriformes, Corvidae. The transcript has 8 exons. The record is from RefSeq and is a predicted model, not a curated record.